RNAcentral lists this ribosomal RNA (253 nucleotides) under uncultured bacterium. RNAcentral describes it as "partial 16S ribosomal RNA". It matches the Rfam family "Bacterial small subunit ribosomal RNA", at positions 524 to 776 of the family's 1533-position model. The record is from RNAcentral.
UACGUAGGGUGCAAGCGUUGUCCGGAAUUAUUGGGCGUAAAGAGCUCGUAGGCGGUCUGUCGCGUCGGCUGUGAAAUCCCGGAGCUCAACUCCGGGUCUGCAGUCGAUACGGGCAAACUGGAGUACUGCAGGGGAGACUGGAAUUCCUGGUGUAGCGGUGAAAUGCGCAGAUAUCAGGAGGAACACCGAUGGCGAAGGCAGGUCUCUGGGCAUUAACUGACGCUGAGGUGCGAAAGCGUGGGGAGCAAACAGG